RNAcentral lists this ribosomal RNA (478 nucleotides) under uncultured bacterium. Its description in RNAcentral is "partial 16S ribosomal RNA". It matches the Rfam family "Bacterial small subunit ribosomal RNA", at positions 28 to 523 of the family's 1533-position model. The record is from RNAcentral.
GACGAACGCUGGCGGCGUGCUUAACACAUGCAAGUCGAACGGUAAGGCCCUUCGGGGUACACGAGUGGCGAACGGGUGAGUAACACGUGGGUGAUCUGCCCUGCACUUCGGGAUAAGCCUGGGGAACUGGGUCUAAUACCGGAUAGGACCCUGGGAUGCAUGUCCUGGGGUGGAAAGCUUUUGCGGUGUGGGAUGGGCCCGCGGCCUAUCAGCUUGUUGGUGGGGUGAUGGGCUACCAAGGCGACGACGGGUAGCCGGCCUGAGAGGGUGACCGGCCACACUGGGACUGAGAUACGGCCCAGACUCCUACGGGAGGCAGCAGUGGGGAAUAUUGCACAAUGGGCGCAAGCCUGAUGCAGCGACGCCGCGUGAGGGAUGACGGCCUUCGGGUUGUAAACCUCUUUCAGCACCGACGAAGCGCAAGUGACGGUAGGUGCAGAAGAAGGACCGGCCAACUACGUGCCAGCAGCCGCAGUAA